RNAcentral lists this ribosomal RNA (419 nucleotides) under bacterium. Its description in RNAcentral is "partial 16S ribosomal RNA". It matches the Rfam family "Bacterial small subunit ribosomal RNA", at positions 355 to 776 of the family's 1533-position model. The record is from RNAcentral.
UGGGGGAUAUUGCACAAUGGGCGAAAGCCUGAUGCAGCGACGCCGCGUGGGGGAUGAAGGCCUUCGGGUUGUAAACUUCUUUUGCUCUGAACAAGGCGCACCAUGGGGUGUGUUGAGUGUAGGGGUUGAUUAGCGCCGGCUAACUACGUGCCAGCAGCCGCGGUAAUACGUAGGGCGCGAGCGUUGUCCGGAAUCAUUGGGCGUAAAGGGCUUGUAGGUGGCUGGUUGCGUCUGUCGUGAAAGCUCAUGGCUUAACUGUGGGUUUGCGGUGGGUACGGGCUGGCUUGAGUGCAGUAGGGGAGGCUGGAAUUCCUGGUGUAGCGGUGGAAUGCGCAGAUAUCAGGAGGAAUACCGGUGGCGAAGGCGGGUCUCUGGGCUGUUACUGACACUGAGGAGCGAAAGCAUGGGGAGCGAACAGG